GUGGGUGGAGCUCAGUGGUAGAGUGAGUGCUUGGCAUGCACAAGGUGCUGGGUUCAAUCCCCGGUACCUCCA
Camelus ferus (Wild Bactrian camel) is the source of this 72-nucleotide transfer RNA. It matches the Rfam family "tRNA". Rfam says of the family: Transfer RNA (tRNA) molecules are approximately 80 nucleotides in length. Their secondary structure includes four short double-helical elements and three loops (D, anti-codon, and T loops). Further hydrogen bonds mediate the characteristic L-shaped molecular structure. tRNAs have two regions of fundamental functional importance: the anti-codon, which is responsible for specific mRNA codon recognition, and the 3' end, to which the tRNAs corresponding amino acid is attached (by aminoacyl-tRNA synthetases). tRNAs cope with the degeneracy of the genetic code in two manners: having more than one tRNA (with a specific anti-codon) for a particular amino acid; and 'wobble' base-pairing, i.e. permitting non-standard base-pairing at the 3rd anti-codon position. Lineage: Eukaryota; Metazoa; Chordata; Mammalia; Artiodactyla; Camelidae. The record is from Rfam.